AACUGAUACUACCUGCGGGAACCUGCGGAGGGAUCAUUAUCGAGUGUGAACCCCCCCCGUAAAAAGGGGGAGUUUCCUCCCGUCCUUUGCUGGGAACCCCCCUUUCAUUGGAAGGGGGGUUGCUUUCAGACCCUUUCUGCUUUGGUGGGGUUACCUGCCGAAACAACCUCAAAAAUUCUAAGUCAAAACUGUUCAGUCCGAGAAAACUUUGAAAAAGCGAAAAACUUUUAACAACGGAUC
This 240-nucleotide unclassified non-coding RNA is filed under the name soil metagenome. Its description in RNAcentral is "partial contains 5.8S ribosomal RNA, internal transcribed spacer 2, and large subunit ribosomal RNA". The record is from RNAcentral.